CCUACGGGAGGCAGCAGUGAGGAAUAUUGGUCAAUGGACGAGAGUCUGAACCAGCCAAGUAGCGUGAAGGAUGACUGCCCUAUGGGUUGUAAACUUCUUUUAUAUGGGAAUAAAACGUUCCACGUGUGGGAUUUUGUAUGUACCAUAUGAAUAAGGAUCGGCUAACUCCGUGCCAGCAGCCGCGGUAAUACGGAGGAUCCGAGCGUUAUCCGGAUUUAUUGGGUUUAAAGGGAGCGUAGGUGGAUUGUUAAGUCAGUUGUGAAAGUUUGCGGCUCAACCGUAAAAUUGCAGUUGAUACUGGCAGUCUUGAGUACAGUAGAGGUGGGCGGAAUUCGUGGUGUAGCGGUGAAAUGCUUAGAUAUCACGAAGAACUCCGAUUGCGAAGGCAGUUCACUGGACUGCAACUGACACUGAUGCUCGAAAGUGUGGGUAUCAAACAGGAUUAGAUACCCGUGUAGUC
This 460-nucleotide ribosomal RNA is filed under the name uncultured bacterium. RNAcentral's name for it is "partial 16S ribosomal RNA". It matches the Rfam family "Bacterial small subunit ribosomal RNA", at positions 338 to 795 of the family's 1533-position model. The record is from RNAcentral.